This is a long non-coding RNA of Penaeus monodon (black tiger shrimp), 1049 nucleotides long. RefSeq lists it as uncharacterized. The record is from RefSeq and is a predicted model, not a curated record. NCBI's taxonomy places the organism in Eukaryota, Metazoa, Arthropoda, Malacostraca, Decapoda, Penaeidae. The transcript has 2 exons.
GCUGGGGAUGUUGUCAUGACUCGCUUGGAGAAGGCCGAGGGGCUCAACGUGACUGCGAAAUGCUUGGGCGUCUAUUUAUAUACAGUUUCAGAGAGAAAGGAGGUCACGGAUAUAGUGGUCUAAAUUCAUCAGGGCAUCCUGGUUUUGGGAAAGGAAUAAUGGUAACUUGUUUCUUGGCAAUAGACAAGAUGCUUGUAGAAGAGAUCGAGUUGGAAAGCCCAAUAAGACGAUGAUGUUACAAGUGAUUCCAUCUUUCCCAGGUGCAGUUGAUUUGCUAGUCGUAAUGGCUGCAAGAAGUUCAUGGCUUGUGAAUGGUGUACCAGUUCAUCCAAAAUUUGGCACUGACAGUUAAUUUCAUUUUUGUGUUUUAACUUAAAGGAGCGCCUGCGUAUGGGUAAUGGAAGAUUAUCGAGAGAGGGUGGAGAGUUACAGUGUAUGCAUUGGCCUUAAUCCUGUUUUUUUCUCUCCACACAUUACUCAUGGGAUUCUUGGAGUCAAUUGCUUCUGCCCAGGCAUACAUUCCCUCUUCCCGUUUAUGAAUUAUUUCCUCAUUAAACUUUUUACUAAAGAAUACAAGAUCCCUAGCUACGCAGGGGUUUGCUGUAGGCCUUAUGAGUGUUAUAAGUACUCUUAUUUCGGGAUCUUUGUUCAGGGGAUAUGCUCGUUUGCCUCUGGAGGAUGGAGAGCUAUCCUUGACAGGGUUUCUGGGGUGGAGGUGGUUAUUGAUAUUACCAACUUGUUGACAGAGAGUAAAGUCUUCAUACCAGCAGCCAAUCCUUUUAAUAAACUCAUCAUGAUGUUUAGUAGCAAGAUGAUAUCAAGGCAUGACUGGGGUGUGCUUCUUUUAAAAAAAAUGGGAGGGCUAUACUUAAUGACCAAUGAUCACUGACUAAGAGUGGGAUGACUCGCAGUGCUUAGGAGUGUGUGCUGAUUGUACUGAGAUACAUAAUCUAAUUUGCUACCUAGGUGAUGAAUCUUUUCUGAGGGGCAUACUAAGUGUAUGGGGUCACUAAUGUUUUGGAGACAGUCAUAAUAAACCUUACCAUUUU